GUAGGGAAUCUUCCACAAUGGACGCAAGUCUGAUGGAGCAACGCCGCGUGAGUGAAGAAGGUCUUCGGAUCGUAAAGCUCUGUUGUUGGUGAAGAAGGAUAGAGGCAGUAACUGGUCUUUAUUUGACGGUAAUCAACCAGAAAGUCACGGCUAACUACGUGCCAGCAGCCGCGGUAAUACGUAGGUGGCAAGCGUUGUCCGGAUUUAUUGGGCGUAAAGCGAGCGCAGGCGGAAUGAUAAGUCUGAUGUGAAAGCCCACGGCUCAACCGUGGAACUGCAUCGGAAACUGUCAUUCUUGAGUGCAGAAGAGGAGAGUGGAACUCCAUGUGUAGCGGUGGAAUGCGUAGAUAUAUGGAAGAACACCAGUGGCGAAGGCGGCUCUCUGGUCUGCAACUGACGCUGAGGCUCGAAAGCAUGGGUAGCGAACAGGAUUAGAUACCCUGGUAGUCCAUGCCGUAAACGAUGAGCGCUAGGUGUUGGGGCACUUUACC
Molecule: ribosomal RNA, 491 nt
Filed under: uncultured bacterium
Lineage: Bacteria
Description: partial 16S ribosomal RNA
Rfam family: Bacterial small subunit ribosomal RNA
Source: RNAcentral